Molecule: long non-coding RNA, 441 nt
Organism: Chiroxiphia lanceolata (lance-tailed manakin)
Lineage: Eukaryota; Metazoa; Chordata; Aves; Passeriformes; Pipridae
Exons: 3
Source: RefSeq, a predicted model, not a curated record
AGACGGAAAGUGCUACCAAAGAGUUUGAUGUUGUCAGGUGUUUUAAAAACAGUCUUCUAGUGGCAAGUAAUGGAAUUGCUCAUGCACAGGAGGUGGAGAAGCUGGUGUGCUGCUCAGCCUAAAGGGAAAGAAAGUUUGCUUUCAUCAAUACUUUCAACAGGUCACUCAUAUGAAAGUGGAACCAGUGGAAGAGAUCAACUGAGGAGCUCCUGGGGUCCUCCCCAGCUCUCACUCUGCACCCUGGUGGAGGUGACGUGCAGCAGAGACAUUUCCUUGCAGACAGGAGCUCUGCCUGCAGCACACACAACCUUUCUACGUGGGAGGCUUGAGCACAGGUCCCUUUAUCAGGCACCUGACUCCUUUUUGUGACUUGCCUUCUGCAAUAUGGGCAGCCAAGCAUUGAGGCGACAUCUUUAUUUUCUUCUUGGACUUGCCCUCAGA